Molecule: ribosomal RNA, 253 nt
Filed under: uncultured bacterium
Lineage: Bacteria
Description: partial 16S ribosomal RNA
Rfam family: Bacterial small subunit ribosomal RNA
Source: RNAcentral
GACGAACCGAGCGAACGUUGUUCGGAAUCACUGGGCUUAAAGGGCGCGUAGGCGGGCUGUCAAGUCUGGGGUGAAAUCCCGCGGCUCAACCGUGGACCUGCCUCAGAUACUGACGGUCUCGAGGGAGGUAGGGGCGAGCGGAACUGAUGGUGGAGCGGUGAAAUGCUUAGAUAUCGUCAAGAACACCUAUAGCGAAGGCAGCUUACUAGGCUGUAACUGACGCUGAGGCACGAAAGUGUGGGGAUCAAACAGG